RNAcentral lists this unclassified non-coding RNA (211 nucleotides) under Hevea brasiliensis (rubber tree). The record is from RNAcentral. Lineage: Eukaryota; Viridiplantae; Streptophyta; Magnoliopsida; Malpighiales; Euphorbiaceae.
GUAAUAGUUUUUCUGAGAGAUGGCUCGUACCAAGCAAACUGCUCGUAAGUCUACAGGAGGAAAGGCUCCCAGGAAACAACUUGCCACUAAGGCUGCACGUAAGUCUGCUCCUACCACUGGUGGUGUGAAGAAGCCACACAGAUACCGACCUGGUACUGUUGCUCUUCGUGAAAUCCGCAAGUACCAAAAGAGUACUGAGCUCUUGAUCAGG